Schistocerca americana (American grasshopper) is the source of this 378-nucleotide long non-coding RNA. RefSeq lists it as uncharacterized. NCBI's taxonomy places the organism in Eukaryota, Metazoa, Arthropoda, Insecta, Orthoptera, Acrididae. The record is from RefSeq and is a predicted model, not a curated record. The transcript is spliced from 3 exons.
GCGACAAAGGGCUGGGCAGAUACACUGCAUUGUCAGCCUGAAGAUCUGAUUGAAGUGCUGAAGCUGCUGUCUGAGCCACCAGCAGAAACCAGCACUCCAGCCACUGGAGACAGCGAGGUCACCCCCACCAGUCAGCUGCACACUGGCCACAAAAACUGCAGCAGGGCUCCUGUUCCAGCUGCAAAGCACACAGCUACCUGCCCCACUUCCACAUUUGACGAUGCUUCCGUCUCUUUCCAGCGGACCCUCUCUGCAGCGGAGAAAGGCAGGAGGCUGAUCAAGGCAGCUAACGAUGGCAGUGCAAGAGCUGCAGAUGGUGCUGGCAGCUGGGGCUGAUGUGGGUGCGACGGAUGGGAACAAGAAUACUGCGCUGCACUG